UGUCCAGUAGCACCUUAGAGACCAACUAAGUUUGUUCUUGGUAUGCAUGCACACUUCUUCAGAUACAUGGACAUGCACACGAAAGCUCAUACCAAAAACAAACUUCAUUGGUCUCUAAGGUGCUACUGGACA
RNAcentral lists this microRNA precursor (132 nucleotides) under Podarcis lilfordi (Lilford's wall lizard). Lineage: Eukaryota; Metazoa; Chordata; Lepidosauria; Squamata; Lacertidae. The record is from RNAcentral.